RNAcentral lists this ribosomal RNA (403 nucleotides) under uncultured bacterium. RNAcentral's name for it is "bacterial SSU rRNA". It matches the Rfam family "Bacterial small subunit ribosomal RNA", at positions 355 to 774 of the family's 1533-position model. The record is from RNAcentral.
UCGGGAAUAUUGCGCAAUGGAGGAAACUCUGACGCAGUGACGCCGCGUGCAGGAAGAAGGUUUUCGGAUUGUAAACUGCUUUAGACAGGGAAGAAAAAGGACAGUACCUGUAGAAUAAGCUCCGGCUAACUACGUGCCAGCAGCCGCGGUAAUACGUAGGGAGCAAGCGUUAUCCGGAUUUAUUGGGUGUAAAGGGUGCGUAGACGGGAAAUCAAGUUGGUUGUGAAAUCCCUCGGCUUAACUGAGGAACUGCAACCAAAACUAAUUUUCUUGAGUGCUGGAGAGGAAAGUGGAAUUCCUAGUGUAGCGGUGAAAUGCGUAGAUAUUAGGAGGAACACCAGUGGCGAAGGCGACUUUCUGGACAGUAACUGACGUUGAGGCACGAAAGUGUGGGGAGCAAACA